GUCAGUCACCGCCACGUCAACGAGGCGGCUUGUAGCGGGUCUACAAGCCCGGACUGACCAGGACCCAGGGCGGGCAACCGUCCUCCGCCCGGAAGGUCACGAUACGUCGGGCUGCGACAGCGCCAGGCCCGACCGCUAUCGCUCGUGAGAACGCCGUCCUGGGGUAAGGGACGCAUCUGGCGAGCACGACAAGCCUUCCGCGCAUGGUCGAGGCGCACAUCAC
Kouleothrix aurantiaca is the source of this 223-nucleotide non-coding RNA. It matches the Rfam family "HNH endonuclease-associated RNA and ORF (HEARO) RNA". The record is from Rfam. NCBI's taxonomy places the organism in Bacteria, Bacillati, Chloroflexota, Chloroflexia, Chloroflexales, Roseiflexaceae.